UCGAAGUGUAUCACUUGGAAAUUCCCUACCAAAUUGAACAGUGACGUCCCCAGCAGAAAGAGUAUAGUUGAGUAAGUCCAAGAAACAAGUGAAGCAACCAGAAUCACAACAGGCCACCACCAAAGUUUAUCACGCAGAUAUACGGCACGAGUGACCUCACGAGCAGUCUUUAAGACAAAGCAAAUGAUGACCCAUGUGAACACUGAACGGUAAAAGGCAUGGGCAAUCACCACCAAAAGUAAAAGUUAGUUCAAAAGUUUGCAGUUCAAU
RNAcentral lists this long non-coding RNA (270 nucleotides) under Coffea arabica (coffee). RNAcentral describes it as "long non-coding RNA (CARA_LNC001081)". The record is from RNAcentral. Lineage: Eukaryota; Viridiplantae; Streptophyta; Magnoliopsida; Gentianales; Rubiaceae.